RNAcentral lists this unclassified non-coding RNA (3010 nucleotides) under Hevea brasiliensis (rubber tree). Lineage: Eukaryota; Viridiplantae; Streptophyta; Magnoliopsida; Malpighiales; Euphorbiaceae. The record is from RNAcentral.
GAAACAUGUCCUGUAAAAUAACGUCGAAUUUAAUCUUUUGUCGAAUAUAAAGUACCAUUUACUCCCCUAAUCAACAAUCCUCACACAAAUUUACUCACAUAAGCACAAAUGAGUGUCUGCUUCACCCUUUGUCUCCUAAGCAGGCCACAAAUCCACACAUUUUUACUCAAUUCCAUGUAAACUAUUAAUGUUGUUUCAAUCCAAAAUUGAAGUCCAUAGGGUUCCUGUAAUAAUGACUUCUAGACUCGAUUUCAACAGAAAAACAUAUGAAACAGUCAAAAUUUUUGAAGUCUACAUGAUAAAAAAAAAUCAUUCAUCCACAUCUGCUGCAGACAUUACUAUUGUUCUACUGUUGGAAAAGCCCUGAAAUGCUCUCUUCGCAGAAGUCUUGGAAGUUGGCACCUGUACUCUAUCAAAUCAAGGAGCAUUAGAUGAGUGAUCAUCAUAAUCUUCUGUAUCAGAAUCUGAACUAUCAACCAUCUUAUCAAGUGAAUCCAAAUCACCAGCUUCAGAAAGAGUGUGCAGGCGAAGUUUGUCAGCAUCCUCAUCUGUAACCCCAAAUAUCUCCUUGACCACUAAGGAGCUAUCCAUCGAACAAAACUCCGGCAGCUCAGAUAAAUAAUACACCUUUCCAAAAAGGGCUUGCACAGCAAGUUUUCUCUUAAAUCCUCUUUCGGUAUACCCUGUCAUAUCCAUGACAACUGGGCCUUUUUCCUUCACAAUCCGUCUUGAGAUGUCAUUCACAAUGUCAGCAACUUGAGAGUCAUCCAAUGUUGACACUCUCCUAAGCUGGAUUAAGUUGGCAACCAGUUCUGCAUUAAAUGGUUUCUCAUUCAAUGCAUACCGGAUGUACUUGCGCAAAAUAUCCUCCAUGCUAAAACCAGUCUGGAUAUGGAUUAGCAGUUUCCAUCAAAACUCAAGUAGUAGUGACACAAAAUACUUCACAAUGGACUAACAAGCAUAGGUGUGCUAAGCCAUUGUAUGCUUCCAAAAAGAGACUACCAAAUAUUGAUACACUUGAAUUUUCCAAUGAUUGAGGAAAAAUGGAAUAACUAGACAAGAAUGGGCUGACAUUGAGCCGUCUGUGACAACACUAUGCAGUUGGAGAGGUUAAAUGAAGUUGUCAGUAAAAGAUGGUUUAAAAAAUGAGCAUGAUUAGAUGAAGUCAAAUGCUCCCUUUUUCUUUUUAUUUUGAUUAUUAAACUUCAAACAAACCAACACAAACUCAAAUGGAUAUCAACUUUCAGUAAAUGCUGACUGCAAUAAAAUUCAAAGAAUUUUCUGUUAAACUUCCUGAUAGUCUGCCAUGAAAUGUUUGCAUCAACAGUUUUCUUAAAUCUUGAAAAGUUCUUUUUGUCCCAGAAGAGAUGAAGUUAUCUUUCAUAUAUUUUGAGAAGACCUUUUAGGCCGCACCAUUCAACUCUCAAUUGGGGCAUCAAGUGUGAGAAAGAAAGAGGACCAGAGUACCAGACUUUUGAAUAUAACCAUCCACUCAUUGUGGUUGAAUAUAUCAUAGCAAACACAAUCAAUUUUGCAACUUAGUUAAGACAUAAAAUGCUCACUAUCUGACUAAAAUUGAAAAUAUCAAGACCAAUGAGUAUCUGCCCAACAGUAUUGUGUUAUACAAUAAUUAAAACUUCCUGAUGGUGCAAUUAAUUCCCCCUUAUUUACAAAUCCAGGCUGAAUAAAAAGAUUGAAAAUGGCACAUUUUAAUUUCUUUGAAUAACAUUUAUGUGAAAAGGUCCGUCAGUUUUAAAGUGAUCAACUUAGUUCAAAGAAUUAUUAAGAUGAAAAAUCAUUCAUCCAUUUAGACCACGUAGUUUGAGAAUUAUUUGAAACAAAAUGAUGCAGAAAUGAACGAUGAACAAAAUAUAUUCAGAAUCUUGCAAUGGAGAAUGUAGAUGAAUUAAAAUUUUCGACAUUUAAAGUAACAUUGGAUUUCAUGUUAAGCAGUCUUGCUGUGGAAUGUCUCACCUUAUUCUCCAGUACCUUCAGGGCUGACUGUUGUAAUGCAUCUCCACCUUUUUGAAAUAAUUCAUCUAUAGAUUUGCAUAGCAUAGCAUUUUUAUUGACCUGAAGAUAUUAACUCCAAUUAGGCAUAAAAGCGACGCAUCACAUGGAAAAUUCAUAACUUCCAAGGAUAACUAUGCAUCUAAUUCAUUAAAAAUAAAUGCAUAUCAAGUGACUAUGAAUUAACCACAUAUCCCAUUUUCUCUCCUUUUUCCAUUUGACUGACUGCUUUAACUAAAUUAUGCGAACAAGCCAAAAGAACACCCGGAAAGAGCAUCUAAAAAUGCUUUCAAUAACCAAAAUUAAGCACACAUAUGACCAAUGAAUCAAAACACGGAUUUUGAAUAAUGAAUCUCUACAACUGACCAGUCUCCUGCGCUUCUCUUUGGGAGAAGAAAACUUCUUUAGAGUCUUAACAAAAGCAAUGACAAAGGUUAUACCAGCAUAGGCCAAAGGGAGGGCAAGAAUCCAAGGCAAGGAACUCUGGCCAACUCUGGGCCCAGGAAUGGCUUGAGUGACAGAGCCCGUGAACUCCACCAGGUCCAAGGCUUUCUCUUGAAUCCAUGGCAACUCCUCCACCUCUAUCUCUUCCUCUUCUUCGACGGCUUUCUUAUCUUUAUCUUUACUAGGGUUUUUCGAGGUUGAUUUCUGGCUGCUGCUGUCGUUUGAGAUAGCAUUGGAACUGCUCUUAGCUGCGGCAGCAAAAAGAAUUCCUACCGCUCUCUGUCUAAGCAAAGAAGGAGAAUUUGAGAAUAAUAAGGGAGAAAAGGGCGUGGGGGUAGAGGGAAAUGAAAGUUUCGGAAUUUUGGGUCGAAGAAGUAGUUGAGAUGAAGAAGAGGAAGCAGCCGCAGCAAGUAAAGCCAUUGACAGAGAGUGGAUGCGCCUUUGGGUUCCGUCUUAAGUAAAUCAGCUGCAGAGUGCUGACUGCUGCUGAGGUUUAUGGCUUUGCGGGUUUUCCCACAGUUUCUUCUUUUGCCUUUCUUUAAUUUCACACUUUUUU